RNAcentral lists this RNase P RNA (406 nucleotides) under Syntrophomonadaceae bacterium. RNAcentral's name for it is "RNase P RNA component class A". It matches the Rfam family "Bacterial RNase P class A". Rfam says of the family: Ribonuclease P (RNase P) is a ubiquitous endoribonuclease, found in archaea, bacteria and eukarya as well as chloroplasts and mitochondria. Its best characterised activity is the generation of mature 5'-ends of tRNAs by cleaving the 5'-leader elements of precursor-tRNAs. Cellular RNase Ps are ribonucleoproteins. The record is from RNAcentral. Lineage: Bacteria; Bacillati; Bacillota; Clostridia; Eubacteriales; Syntrophomonadaceae.
CAAGUAAAUCGGAUAGUCGCAGGUUAAUCGCCUGAGGAAAGUCGGAGCUCCGCAGGGCAAGGUGCUGGAUAGCGUCCAGUGGGGGCGACCCCAAGGCUAGUGCCACAGAAACAGACCGCCGUGAUGGAGACCGGAAAUCAGCAGUAAGAACUGGUAUUGUAUCCUGAUGUUCAGGGAUUUUGCUUUCCGGCCCUCAUUGCGGUAAGGGUGGAAAGGUGAGGUAAGAGCUCACCAGCGUUUAGGCGACUAAACGGCUCGGUAAACCCCACCUGGAGCAAGACCGAAUAGAGGAACCAUGAGGUGGCCCGCCUCGUUCCCGGGUUAGGUCGCAUGAGGUGUCAGGCAACUGGCAUCCCAGAUAGAUGACUAUCUAAUACAGAACUCCGCUUACAGAUUUGCUUGCCCA